RNAcentral lists this ribosomal RNA (461 nucleotides) under uncultured bacterium. RNAcentral's name for it is "partial 16S ribosomal RNA". It matches the Rfam family "Bacterial small subunit ribosomal RNA", at positions 338 to 795 of the family's 1533-position model. The record is from RNAcentral.
CCUACGGGAGAGCAGCAGUGAGGAAUAUUGGUCAAUGGCCGGAAGGCUGAACCAGCAAUGCCGCGUGAAGGUCCGUGCCCUAUGGGCGUUAAACUUCUUUUGUGCGGGAGCAAUAAUGGUCACGUGUGGCCAGACGAGAGUACCGUACGCAUAAGCAUCGGCUCACUCCGUGCCAGGCGCCGCGGUAAUACGGGGGAUGCAAGCGUUAUCCGGAUUUAUUGGGUUUAAAGGGUGCGUAGGCUGUGAGGUAAGUCAGCGGGGAAAUGCCCCCGCGCAACGGGGUGAAGUGCCAUUGAUACUGCCUUGCUGGAAUGCGGAUGCCGUGGGAGGAAUGUGUGGUGUAGCGGUGAAAUGCAUAGAUAUCACACAGAACACCGAUUGCGAAGGCAUCUCACGAAUCCGCGAUUGACGCUGAUGCACGAAAGCGUGGGUAUCAAACAGGAUUAGAUACCCCUGUAGUC